RNAcentral lists this ribosomal RNA (204 nucleotides) under Microascus trigonosporus. Its description in RNAcentral is "5.8S ribosomal RNA". The stretch from base 48 to 201 matches the Rfam family "5.8S ribosomal RNA". From Rfam's summary of the family: 5.8S ribosomal RNA (5.8S rRNA) is a component of the large subunit of the eukaryotic ribosome. It is transcribed by RNA polymerase I as part of the 45S precursor that also contains 18S and 28S rRNA. The record is from RNAcentral. Lineage: Eukaryota; Fungi; Ascomycota; Sordariomycetes; Microascales; Microascaceae.
GCAAAGCGGACUGUACGUUCUGAUUAUAUCUUGAAAAAACAAGUCAAAACUUUCAACAACGGAUCUCUUGGUUCUGGCAUCGAUGAAGAACGCAGCGAAAUGCGAUAAGUAAUGUGAAUUGCAGAAUUCAGUGAAUCAUCGAAUCUUUGAACGCACAUUGCGCCCGGCAGCAAUCUGCCGGGCAUGCCUGUCCGAGCGUCAUUU